Molecule: ribosomal RNA, 426 nt
Filed under: Triticum aestivum (bread wheat)
Lineage: Eukaryota; Viridiplantae; Streptophyta; Magnoliopsida; Poales; Poaceae
Description: partial small subunit ribosomal RNA
Source: RNAcentral
AUGCUCGCUAGCCCAAAUAAAAUGGAGUACGAUCGGCAUGGAUGCCUGAAGAGUGGGAACAGGCUGGGACGCUCCCAGAACUCUCUCCUCCGCCAACGGAUCAAGAUGCUUCGGCACAAGUAUCCACAUACGAAGAUCAUUGCCACCGAGUACUACAGACCCAUCCUAGCUUUUCUAGAUAUGCCAGGGCAUUUUGGACUGAACAACAGCACAACUCUCCUCACCUGUUGUGGUGCAGGAGGCCCUCCAUAUAACUACGACUUCAACACAGGGUGCGGCCUCCCGGGUGUGAAGGCGUGCACAGAUCCAUCUCAGGCGCUUCAGUGGGAUGGUUUCCACCUAACAGAGUCUGCCUAUAGGGCCAUCGCCGAUGGGUGGCUCCAUGGCCCCUAUGCGGAUCCAACGAUAAUGGACAUUGCACGCUAA